AGACAUGGCGGAUUUCCGGUUAUGAUCAGCGGCAGGGAUGCCAUGGAGAGGGGAAGGAACAAGGCUAGUCUUCCCUAUGUUACUCCAGUUUAUAUUGUGUGCUGCUGAAGCGAGCCCCAUUCCACUAAUUUCUGGUGAGGGGAGUGACCAGAACCAGCUGGAAGCCCACAGGAGGCAGCAGGUGUUGUGCUUCUUACACAGAAGACACGUACUGCACUACCACGAUGUGGGGCACGGAGUCCUGUGGAGGCACCAGAUCUUCUUCUGGGGUUGGUGAAGCUGUUGAUUCCAGUACCACAUCUGCUGCCAUCAUGGAUGAAUCCUCUGCCUUGAUCUCAGGAGCAGUUCUGAUGGAAAUGUGAAUGUCUGUGGGAAGAGAGGAGGAAGUCAUGGUUUCAGUGUCCUCUAUUUCUGACCUCCCUGGUGGUCUAUUUAGACUGAUUUUGGAAUGAACUUCUCAAAUGCAGACCCAGAAGCCAAGAACAGUAGCUCAUGACUAAUCCUAGCUACUAGAAUGCUGAGAUCUGGGGAUCACAGUCCAAAGCCAUCCCUGGCAAGAAAGAAAGUCCGUAAGAUUCUUAGCACCAGUGAACCACCAAGAGGCAGAAAUAGAAUUGUGGCUAAAACAGGGACAGCAUGCAGGCCUUGAGUUCAGGCUCCAGGAUUAUAGAAAAAAAUUGGAACGAGA
Molecule: long non-coding RNA, 688 nt
Organism: Dipodomys ordii (Ord's kangaroo rat)
Lineage: Eukaryota; Metazoa; Chordata; Mammalia; Rodentia; Heteromyidae
Exons: 5
Source: RefSeq, a predicted model, not a curated record